This 7038-nucleotide long non-coding RNA is filed under the name Populus tremula. RNAcentral describes it as "long non-coding RNA (PTRE_LNC002494)". The record is from RNAcentral. Lineage: Eukaryota; Viridiplantae; Streptophyta; Magnoliopsida; Malpighiales; Salicaceae.
CCCGUCGCGAUCUAAAUUAUAAAUCUCGGUCUUGACAGACAUCGAAACGCGCGUUUCGGGCGCGCAAUUGGCGAAGAAGAGUGAGUACUCAUUUGGAGCAGUGACCGGAUAAGAAUUAUUGAAAGACGAGAGAGGAGGCGGUAAGAGGUCGCGGAAAGUGAAAAGAGAGAGAAUGUAGUGGGAAUCGAGAACGCAUAAGUUAGGGUUUUGCUGGAUCUCGAGGAGGACCUGAAGGAGAGAUUCUUCGGAGAGAAGGAAAAAGCCGAGGCGUGAAGAGACUGGAUUUCCAGCGUUGAGAGAAGAGGCAACGGAGACGGAGUGGACGGAGAUUGUAACGUAUCCAGUUGGUGUGAAACCGAAUUUUUUGAAGAGGAUCAUGGCUCGCGCGUCGUUUGUGAUUGUUAGAGUUUUAAUCUCGGCGGUGGAAAGGGAGAUGAGGAGAACGAGGACGAGGAGGCGGAGGAUGAGGUGCGGUGGUUUAGUCAUUUUUUAGGUGGCUGUCGUUGCUGUAGUGGCAGUGGAUCUGUGGUGGGUGGAGGGGGAUGAGAGACUUGAGAGUUUACUUGAGAACGUGGAUUCAAUGCUAAAUAGUGGUUGUAGUCGAUACAGUCGAGUCUUGCCAGUCAAGAGGGUGCCUUUAUGCGACGUCGUUUUAUGAAGCGUUGACGUGGUCGACGCUGUUCGCGCGGAAGCCUAAAUUGACAGUCAUGCCUACUCUCAAGUCUCUCAACAGCUCUUCCAUUUUCUAUUUCUAGAAAGGCCCAUUUCAUUGGAUGGGGAAAUUUACAUACGUGCAUUGGUAUUUUUGUAGUUUCAUCUAUUUUUAAGGAUUUAAAAAAGUUAGAUAUUGACCAACUUUGCAAUUAGGUCCAUCUACUUUUUCAUAAUUGCAUUUUGAUACUCGCACUUCAUUAUCAUCAAGGUAAUUUUUUAUCCUGCGUCGUAGCCUUUGCUAAGCUUCUUCCUCGUCUUGGUCCUUCAAGUCAUGGAUUUUUUAACAUGAAGGAAGGUCUUUUAGUACAAAAUACGUUGAAAAAAACAAGUGUUAACCUAGAGUUUUUUUUUUGUUUGUUUUUUAUGAGGGUCCUUUCUUUUCAUAAUUUAUUUCAAUUACUUUUAAGACCCAAACCGGUGUAAGCCUAAAGUUUUUUGGGUUACAAGUCAACUCAUUGGAUCGAGCAUUUUAAGCAUCGAAUGAUGUAUUUUGAUUUUGAUUUUUUUGAUUUUUUUAUUCUUUCGAACUUAAUCCUCUCACUUUAUUUUUAUUUUUGUUUUGGAUUUUUUUUGUGAAUUUGUGGACUUAUAAAUUUUCAAUUUGGCUCUUGUAUUUUAGGUUUCAACACUAAUGUUUUGGUUUUAAAUUUUUAUUCUUGGCACAUUUAUCAAAUUUUUAUUUUUUUUGUUUCAUUAUUGGAUCCUUAAUUUUGAUUUUUCUCAAUUUUACCACUUGGGUUUGCUGAUAUUUUUUUCUUAACUUUUUUUUGCUUAUUGAUUUUUUUCCUGAUUUUAUCUUUCAUCAUUUGGAUUCUUGGGGAUUGACGAUCGGUAUUUUUUCCCAUUUUUUUCUAUGAUAUAGAGUCAUUAAUUUUUUUUCUUUUUUUUUAAUAUACAUACAACACCUAGUCAUCACUUUUUUACAAUUCAAAAAAAUUGAGCCAACCCACAGCUUAGCGUAGAAGAUAUCUAGUUAUACUCUAUACUAAAUGUUAUCAACCUUUCAUUGUGUGAAUCCACAGUAAAAUGGUGAUUUUACUCUUUAGUGGGUAAAGUAACAUGUCUUGGGUUUAAAGGUAUGAAGGUAUUUUUUAUGGGAUACAUUGGUUUAUUACUUGAAAGGAAAGGGCUAGACGAUAAUUCUAUAUUUUCUUUGACAGUGUGAUUACUUAAUUGCCCUUGAAAGACAAAAAAAAAAUCAUUCGGGUCAAGAGACUUUUAAGUCCUUGACUUUAUUUUUAAACAAGUUAUUUUAUUACCUUGAAAAUUAAAAACAAUUAUCUUUGACUUAGGGACUCUUUUAUCAUUUACAUGUAGUCAUUUGGUAGUUAUUAGGUGUCCUUGGAGGUAAAAGGGUAAUUUGGUAAAUAAAAAAAAUAGAUGAAUAGUGGCAACCGCCUUUAGACGAUGCAUGCAUCACUGUCCGAUGGCCAAAACCGUGAUUUCAUGGCAGCUUCUAAAGCGUCUUAGUGUCUCCUUCAUGGAUCAGCGACACGUGUAGCACUAUAGUGGCCGGUGUGGCGUUGUGGCCUUUUGUUUUAUUUUUUCCUUUUCUCCUACUAGAUUUUCAUGCUAGAAUUAAAAAAAAUCAAAUCGGCCCUUAAAGUUUGUUGUACUUAAGAUUGCAUCUUUGUUCUCUUUAUUACAAUUUUUAAAAUUUAAGAUACUUUAUAAAAUUAAGAGGUUUUGUCAAUUUCAUCCAUGUUCUCUUUCUUACUAUUUUUUUUUUAGUUUAGAAUAGUUAAUAAACUAUAACAACAUCUUUGUUUAUACAUGUUCAUAAAAAAUAAUAUUUUAUUUUAAAAAUUAAAAUUCAUCUGUAUAAACAAAAUGAAAAAUUAUAGAUGAAUUAGAAUAGUAUUUUGAAAAAUAAAACACAAACAAAAUAAUUAAAAAAAAACUAUAUUCUAAAAAGACAUGCAAAACUUGUGACCUAGAUUAUAAAACCAAGAUAAACCCGUAGAAAAAAAUUAAAGAAAAUCACAAAACUAAUAUUAAAAAAAAAACUAAUGUAGAACAAUAAAAUCGCACGAAGCCAAAUCCCUAAAUAAUCAAAAGAUGAAACAUGAAACAUGAAAAAAAAAAUCUAUCACACAAAAUGAUCUAAAAAAAUAAGGCAAACAAAAAUGUUUAAUUGAUUGGUUAAAUUAAAUUGAGAAAUAGCUUUAACAAAAAGAAAAAAAAAUUAAAAACAUAAGGGUCAAAUUAAAAAAAAAAAAAAUUGAUCGAAUGAUGAAAUUGAAAGCCAGAAAAACUUUAACAAAAAAGCCAAGAGAAAAAAAUUAAAAAUCAAGAUAAUAAGGACUAAAAUGAAAAAAAUACGUGAGAAAUUUUAAUUGAAGGACUAAAUUGAAAGAAAAAUAUAUAUAUAAAAGGAAAAUAAUGAAAUAAGAAAUGAAAAGAAUGAGUACUGGAAUUGAUAAACAAAAAAAAAGGAUAACCAUGCACUUUACUUAGUAGGAGAGAUAAAAGAAGGAGAAAAAAAAAUGAUUACCGAUGAUAAUUCAACCACCAUACAUUGUCACACAUCGCAUCAUAUAAAAAAAAGCAUUGUGGUGUAUCCAAAGAGACGGUGUAAGGUUAGUUUUGGUCACCGGAUGAUGUUACAGACCACCUUAAAGGUGCAGGUGUCGCCCAUCUGAUGGGAAGUCCUGAAGGUGCCAAUAGCUUUUUUGAUUAAAAAAAUUAAAAAAUCAAAGUAAAAAUAACAAAACACCUCUCAUGAUCCUGAUAAUUACUCUAAAAAACAGUGUGAAAGUAAAAAAUUACCCCAUACAAACUUUAUUUUGGCUAAAAAGUACUUCAACUGUACAUAAAUAAUAAAAAAAACAAAAAUAUCAUUGUCCAACAACCUAAUAAUUUUUUGAUCCUGGAAAUAAUUUUUAAAAGUUUAUGAAAAGUAAAAAAAGUUAUUGGUCAAUAGCUCAAAAUUUUGUUAACUCUUAAGAGUUAAAUAAUAUUUGUAUCAUGCCAAAAAAAAAUACCUUUAAAUAAUCUUUUAAUGAUAAAUAGUUUAAUAAAAAAGGUCAAAGCACCCUAAUCUAAAAAAAAAAAUCAUUCAAAGAAAAAUAAAUAAUAUCACUAUAAUAAUCCAGAAUAAACUAUAUCUACUACUAGAUUGAAAAACUCCACGCAUUAUAAUGCUUUGGUAAAUAGACAUGUACGCGCGCACAAGGAAACUUAAAUCCAAAUUGUGUUGUUUACUCCUGAGUUUGAUUGGGAGUGGCUGUCGAUUUCACCAACAUAGCAAUUAUGUUAUACCGAAUUGGAUUGGAUCGGGUCUGCCUCCUCUGGACCAGGGCCUGUUUGGAGUCGGUCCAUUUUAAAGAACUAAAUAAGCUUGUUUUUUUUAUUAAAAAAAAAAACGAAAUUUUCUUUUAGCUUUAAAUUAGUUUUUUUUUAGGAUUUUAAUAUGUUAUUGUCAAAAAUUAAAAAAUAUAUUAUUUUAGUAUUUUUUAAAUAAAAAAAUUACACACCAGUAUUCCACCUAAUAAAUCCAAUGAAUUCCUUUGUGGAAAUGAGAUUAAUCUGGACUCCAAAUAAAAUACAAGUUCGAUGACAACCUGACGAAGUUCUUUACCCCUGCAGUUCCAUCCAGGUUCAGCUUUUGGCGCAACAGCUGCAGAAAGCAGCAUGCUUUUGCCUCUCCCUAAUUUUCAAUCGUCAUCUGGCAGGCCAUUUCAACCGGAAAAUGGAUUCUUUCAUCGUGGGGAGAAAAAACAAACAAACCAAGGAGAUUCUCGAGUCAAUCUACGGAAUCGACAUCACAGCCCAUUAGACAACAAGACAUGACAGCAAGGAGUUGAUGCACAUGUACCAGCUGCCAUGGCCACUACGCGUCACUAUCAAUGACUGAUUCCCCGCACAAAGAUCCAAAACCAUGAGCACUACAGACCAAAUGCCUUAAGGUCUGGAAUUGAAGAUGAGAAAGCUUGAUAAUCAAGAAAUCCUAGAAAAACUUGGUAAAAUGCAAGUUCAGAAACGUUAAGCAUUCAACCUAAUGGCAUGGCCAGCUAAUAAAAGCUGGAAAAGCAUAUCUGUUGCAUAGAAUUGCUUUUUCAGUAUAAAAACCAAAACUAGAAGAGGUGGAAUGAUGCAUUCUUAAUUUAUUUAUUUUUCCCAGCAUCAUCAGUGAGCUCAGGGGGUGGGAAUCUCCAAGAGGAAAGACUACUAAUAAGGAAGUUUCUGGCUUGGCUCUAUAACAAUACAUAUUAAUAAACAACUCUCCAAAACACCAGAUAAAUAACCCCUUGAUGAUACUGGCUACCAAACCAAACAGCUAGCUAGCUACCAUAACUUUGAAACAAACAUCACAAUGAUUUACUUCUUUCAGAUAGACAGGGGAUAGAUUACCAGGCACGACCCAUAAAACUUCUCAUCCCUAGGAAAUUUGCAUGCGCACACGGCACAUACAAGUAAUAAUCUUAUUUCACGAAACCUCGCACCAUACACAUUUCUUUUAAGAGCAGCAGGAGAACAUUCAUGAUAUGUUCCUGUUUCAGAUACAUGCCAACUUCUUUUCAGUUUUCGUAGGAUAAUUUAUACGAACCUGGUUCAUCUAUAAGUAAACUUUCAUUUGGAACUAGUAACGAAAUGCACAAUGCUAAUAAUAAAUUCUAUAUCAAAACUUAGGGGAAGAAAGAGAGAAAAUGUUAUCUGGAAACAAAGGGGCAAAUCUGUGAGAAGAGAGCGAUUCAUUACCUUCAUAUUAAAAUCAAUAUUACUGGAAAAGCCAUGCCAGCAAUCUGCAACUAUUUAAUACGGGAAAACAAGAAAAAGAAAUUCCAACAAGUGGCUUUCAGUGCAAUCAUCCUCGUGUUUAAACAACAUCAAAACGUACAAGUUACAGGAAACAAGAAUUCAAUAACAUGAAAUACUGAAAAAACAGGAAUAGUAUCAGCUAACAGAUCGUUUCGAAAGAGUCAUUAGCUAGUUCAAUGAUAACAGAAUGCGUGACAUUUCAUUUUAACACACCAUAUAAAGAAGUGCACAAGUAAUUAUCAGCUUCCGACAUGGAAAAUUCAUUAACCAAAAAUACAGCCACUACUCAGUAAAUACCAAAGUUUGUAUAGCAGGAAAACGACAUUGCAAAAAACUAAAUGUAAAUUAAGAGUAGUAGCUGCAAUGUCAGACCUGUCCCGUCAAAUUUUUUUCAGCAAAACAUUAAAUUUGCAGCAGUAGAAUCACCCCAACUUCUAUCCAUUUCAAAGCUCGAAUUCUUCAUCCCUCAAAGCCAACUCUGCAGCUUCCUCAUCCUCCUCGUCAAGAACAAAGUACUCAUUCUUCUCCACAGGCCUAAACAUAUAAAACAUCACCAUAUAAAACAUCAAACUAGCAGUCUCCUCGGCAGCAUAACUCACCCACUGAUACUUAUAAGCUGCAAUCGUCUUCAAUGCAAACACCACAAUCCUCGUGAAAUACAAGUACCCAAUAACCACAAUAUAAAACUGCCUAAACAACUGCAAUUUCGCCAAAUUCCUAGCAGCCUUCCCAUCUGUCUUGGAAGUCUCUCUCAACGAUCUGAUCGACCACACAAUGGGGAAAAUAAUUGCGCAACAACAAAUAAUAUCAACCAACAAAAACACCUGAUUCCAAGUCACCCAAUCCUUAAUGAAGGGACCAGUUUCACCAAUCACAACCGAAGCUAUAUUAGCCAAAACCUGUAGUGGAAUCACAACCAUUAGCACCUUCUUCUCUUUCUCUUGCAAAAAGGGUUUCAGAAACGACCAACCAGUCCCAAUCAAAACAAUAACGGUAAACAACAAAACCACACGAAUAAACUGGAAAAUAUAAAACAACACAUCCCAACCGUGUGGAGUCCCUGUGACCUUCACAUAAUGCUUAUCCUCGGCGGCACAGAUCAAAUUAAGAGCCUUCAUAAGUAACAACCCCCCCAUUAACAAAUGGAUCCGGUGGACAGAUCUUUUAUUACUAUACAGAACAUAAAUCCAUAGCCCUAAAAAUCCAGCAUAAGCGAGGAAAUAAAGAGAAUAUAACCAAGGCAAUUGCGUUAACCCUGCGGAAAGAUAAUCUCUAGACCCGUCGCGAUCUAAAUUAUAAAUCUCGGUCUUGACAGACAUGGAAACGCGCGUUUCGGGCGCGCAAUUGGCGAAGAAGAGUGAGUACUCAUUUGGAACAGUGACCGGAUAAGAAUUAUUGAAAGACGAGAGAGGAGGCGGUAAGAGGUCGCGGAAAGUGAAAAGAGAGAGAAUGUAGUGGGAAUCGAGAACGCAUAAGUUAGGGUUUUGCUGGAUCUCGAGGAGGACCUGAAGGAGAGAUUCUUCGGAGAGAAGGAAAAAGCCGAGGCGUGAAGAGACUGGAUUU